RNAcentral lists this ribosomal RNA (639 nucleotides) under uncultured bacterium. RNAcentral's name for it is "bacterial SSU rRNA". It matches the Rfam family "Bacterial small subunit ribosomal RNA", at positions 232 to 885 of the family's 1533-position model. The record is from RNAcentral.
CGCGGCCUAUCAGCUUGUUGGCGAGGUAAAGGCUCACCAAGGCAUUGACGGGUAGCUGGUCUGAGAGGACGAUCAGCCACACUGGGACUGAGACACGGCCCAGACUCCUGCGGGAGGCAGCAGUGGGGAAUAUUGCGCAAUGGGCGAAAGCCUGACGCAGCAACGCCGCGUGGGGGAUGAAGGCUUUCGGGUUGUAAACCCCUUUCAGUGAUGACGAAAAUGACGGUAAUCACAGAAGAAGCCCCGGCCAACUACGUGCCAGCAGCCGCGGUAACACGUAGGGGGCAAGCGUUGUCCGGAUUUAUUGGGCGUAAAGAGCUCGUAGGCGGUUGCGUAAGUCGGAUGUGAAAACUCAGGGCUCAACCCUGAAAUGCCAUUCGAUACUGCGCUGACUAGAGUCCGGUAGAGGAGCAUGGAAUUCCUGGUGUAGCGGUGAAAUGCGCAGAUAUCAGGAGGAACACCAGUAGCGAAGGCGGUGCUCUGGGCCGGUACUGACGCUGAGGAGCGAAAGCAUGGGUAGCAAACAGGAUUAGAUACCCCGGUAGUCCAUGCCGUAAACGUUGGGCACUAGGUGUGGGACCUACUUAACGGGUUCCGUGCCGUAGCUAACGCAUUAAGUGCCCCGCCUGGGGAGUACGG